This 255-nucleotide ribosomal RNA is filed under the name uncultured bacterium. Its description in RNAcentral is "partial 16S ribosomal RNA". It matches the Rfam family "Bacterial small subunit ribosomal RNA", at positions 524 to 777 of the family's 1533-position model. The record is from RNAcentral.
UACGAAGGGGGGCUAGCGUUGCUCGGAUUGACUGGGCGUAAAGGGCGCGUAGGCGGAUAGUACAGUCAGGCGUGAAAUUCCUGGGCUCAACCUGGGGGCUGCGUUUGAUACGUAUUGUCUGGAGUUCGGAAGAGGGUCGUGGAAUUCCCAGUGUAGAGGUGAAAUUCGUAGAUAUUGGGAAGAACACCGGUGGCGAAGGCGCCUAUCUGGCCCGAUACUGACGCUGAGGCGCGAAAGCUAGGGGAGCAAACGGGG